AUAGCUUUCCAAUUAAAAAAUAGAGUUUCAUUCCGAAAGGCAAUGAAAAAAGCCAUUGAAUUAACUAAAAAAGCAGAUAUAAGGGGAGUAAAAGUAAAAAUUGCGGGUCGUCUCGGAGGAAAAGAAAUUGCAUGCGCCGAAUCCAUUAAAAAGGGUAGACUUCCCCUCCAAACAAUUCGUGCUAAAAUUGAUUAUUGCUGCUAUCUAAUUCGGACUAUCUAUGGAGUAUUAGGUGUAAAAAUUUGGAUAUUCAUAGACGAAGAAUAA
Molecule: ribosomal RNA, 267 nt
Filed under: Triticum aestivum (bread wheat)
Lineage: Eukaryota; Viridiplantae; Streptophyta; Magnoliopsida; Poales; Poaceae
Description: partial small subunit ribosomal RNA
Source: RNAcentral